UGGAAUACGCCUCCGCUGCAAAGUGGCGGCAGCAACAGGGCGCUUCCACUUAAAACAGUCGGGCCCCGCCCGCAGGCUUGUCUUUCUCCUGUGACUCGAACAGGAAAGGAGUAGGGGAGGCAGAGCCGGUCGGCGCAGGCUCUCGCCCCGAUGGCACGGGACGUCUCCGGUGGUGCUCUGACCACCAGCGUGCGCAGGGCGAUGGGGUGCAGUUGCCUGGGUGGUUUUCUACCAACGGGAGGCAUCGGGGG
This 251-nucleotide long non-coding RNA is filed under the name Hordeum vulgare. RNAcentral describes it as "long non-coding RNA (HVUL_LNC015244)". The record is from RNAcentral. Lineage: Eukaryota; Viridiplantae; Streptophyta; Magnoliopsida; Poales; Poaceae.